UACGUAGGGUGCGAGCGUUAAUCGGAAUUACUGGGCGUAAAGUGUGCGCAGGUGGCCGCGCAAGUCGAGUGUGAAAUCCCCGAGCUUAACUUGGGAAUUGCGCUCGAAACUACGUGGCUCGAGUGUGGCAGAGGAAGGUGGAAUUCCACGUGUAGCGGUGAAAUGCGCAGAUAUCAGGAAGAACACCAAUGGCGAAGGCAGCUCUCUGGGACGGUACUGACGCUGAGACGCGAAAGCGUGGGGAGCGAACAGG
RNAcentral lists this ribosomal RNA (253 nucleotides) under uncultured bacterium. Its description in RNAcentral is "partial 16S ribosomal RNA". It matches the Rfam family "Bacterial small subunit ribosomal RNA", at positions 524 to 776 of the family's 1533-position model. The record is from RNAcentral.